UUAACUCUCUUCACUUUGUGGCAAAGAUCGUUGCCAACAGCUUUUGUGUUUUAGGGAGAGUCUUUCUCUUCAAGUAUUCAUGUCCAUUCUCCUAAGAGGAAACUCACUGGUUCUUUUUGAAUCCUGAAUGCAAUCGCCUUUCUCGAAGGUGUUGGGAGGGUGAGGCCACAUGAUUGACAGGCAGUUUUCAAUCUAUUCUAGAGUAGAUCAGGAAAGCUGGGCGAGCAAAGCUAUAGCCCUGCUGCCACUUGUAUGCUGGUUCUCAUGCAUGUACUUACACACACACACACACACACACACACACUCAUCCAUGCAAGGGCUCCCCAGCCUUCACAGCCUACCUAGGGACCAACUGGAGAACCUCUUGGCCAGAUGUCCCUAUCAAGUCUACAGAGCUAGCUCCUGGUUCCUUUACAGGUUGGAAUUACAUUCCAGGGAGUGAAUGUCCGCUUCGUAACAGGAUUGACCUCCAUGAGCCAUUGAUUAUAGAGCUAGGAAGAUCAUUGAUGUCAUGGAAUCCAAUAUCUUCCUUUGGCCGGACGGUGAGAGUGGGACCCAGUUGGAAGUGAUGUAUGUAAUCCAAUGAGCCACGCACUCGUCUGCCCUUGGGAAUGGCAAGAGGAAGUGCAGAGAGCUGGCGUGCCCCGAUCUGAGUCCACCAGGUGCCAUCAAGCUCUAGGCAUCAGCGCUUUUGACCUUCCAGACAUCCUUGGUCACCCAAGGGUUGCAGACAGCGCAUCUGGUGAUCGGACCAAACAGGUGUCUGCAGGUCAAGGAGGGCCUUGGUUGCCAUG
Long non-coding RNA from Ochotona princeps (American pika), 794 nucleotides. RefSeq lists it as uncharacterized. The transcript has 3 exons. Lineage: Eukaryota; Metazoa; Chordata; Mammalia; Lagomorpha; Ochotonidae. The record is from RefSeq and is a predicted model, not a curated record.